This is a long non-coding RNA of Helicoverpa armigera (cotton bollworm), 614 nucleotides long. RefSeq lists it as uncharacterized. The transcript is spliced from 2 exons. Lineage: Eukaryota; Metazoa; Arthropoda; Insecta; Lepidoptera; Noctuidae. The record is from RefSeq and is a predicted model, not a curated record.
UUGUGACUCCAAUGUUUGAACUUUACUCUUGAGAUCAUCAUAACUUUGUGAAAGGAAGGUAACUGUUGAUUGUAUAUGCAGAAUUUUGAAGUUUAAUCUCCUCUACAGAGGCAUACAAUUGGUCAAAUUUACUGUUCUGUUCUACCUUGAAGUCAGAAAACAUGGUUCUCAUUUCCGUUAUGAAUGAAUAUAAAGAUAAGUCCAUAUCUUGGCUAAUCCCCGACUCAGUGAAUUUACGCUUGCUACUAUGGCGGAUAACGUUCAUAAGUUUACUAUCGGUGCUGGCAAGCCUAUCGAAGUUAGAUAUAUCAGGUUCAGAAGAGCCAUGGUGCAACGUUUAGCGGCUCCAGGACGUAGGACGUUGAUGGGGGUGAUCUGUUUAUCGGCAUAUUUUUAACAAAUCGCAGUGGGAUACCUACAUAAGCAGAGAAGGCACUAGUCUGCCCGUCGGUUGGGUCCCUCCAUCUGUAAGGACUGAAGACAAACCUUCAUGAAUUGAUGUACUUCAUAACAAACAGUAUUUGCAACAUGAACGUAAUCUAUAUUUAUUUGCAUUUAAUGUAUGUGGCCUUAAUUGCAAUGCUUUUUAUUCAAUAAAAAAUGCAUUUAUAGUA